RNAcentral lists this ribosomal RNA (486 nucleotides) under uncultured archaeon. Its description in RNAcentral is "bacterial SSU rRNA". It matches the Rfam family "Archaeal small subunit ribosomal RNA", at positions 325 to 811 of the family's 1478-position model. The record is from RNAcentral.
ACGGGGUGCAGCAGGCGCGAAACCUCCGCAAUGUGAGAAAUCGCGACGGGGGGAUCCCAAGUGCCAUUCUUAACGGGAUGGCUUUUCUUAAGUGUAAAAAGCUUUUGGAAUAAGAGCUGGGCAAGACCGGUGCCAGCCGCCGCGGUAACACCGGCAGCUCUAGUGGUAGCUGUUUUUAUUGGGCCUAAAGCGUUCGUAGCCGGUUUGAUAAGUCACUGGUGAAAUCCUGUAGCUUAACUGUGGGAAUUGCUGGAGAUACUAUUAGACUUGAGACCGGGAGAGGUUAGAGGUACUCCCAGGGUAGAGGUGAAAUUCUGUAAUCCUGGGAGGACCGCCUGUUGCGAAGGCGUCUAACUGGAACGGUUCUGACGGUGAGGGACGAAAGUUAGGGGCGCGAACCGGAUUAGAUACCCGGGUAGUCCUAACUGUAAGCGAUGCGGACUUGGUGUUGGGGUGGCUUUGAGCUGCUUCAGUGCCGAAGGGAAG